AAUUUUGGACUAUGGGGGGAAACCCUGAUCCAGCCAUCCCGCGUGUAUGAUGAAGGCCUUCGGGUUGUAAUGUACUUUUGGCUGAGAAGAAAAGGUAUCUCCUAAUACGGGAUUGUGCUGACGGUAUCUGCAGAAUAAGCACCGGCUCACUACGUGCCAGCAGCGGCGGUAAUACGUAGGGUGUAAGCGUUAUGCGGAAUUACUGGGCGUAAAGCGUGUAUAGGCGGUUCGGAAAGAAAGAAGUGAAAUCUCAGGGCCCAACCUUGAAACUGCAUUUUUAUCUGCCGAGCUAGAGUAUGUCAGAGGGGGGUAGAAUUCCACAUGUAGAAGUGAAAUGCGUAGAUAAGAGGAGGAAUACCGAUGGCGAAGGCAGCCCCCUGGGAUAAUACUGACGAUCAGACACGAAAGCGUGAGGAGCAAACAGG
RNAcentral lists this ribosomal RNA (425 nucleotides) under uncultured bacterium. Its description in RNAcentral is "partial 16S ribosomal RNA". It matches the Rfam family "Bacterial small subunit ribosomal RNA", at positions 359 to 776 of the family's 1533-position model. The record is from RNAcentral.